RNAcentral lists this long non-coding RNA (502 nucleotides) under Salvia miltiorrhiza (redroot sage). RNAcentral describes it as "long non-coding RNA (SMIL_LNC006188)". Lineage: Eukaryota; Viridiplantae; Streptophyta; Magnoliopsida; Lamiales; Lamiaceae. The record is from RNAcentral.
GCGCACAUGUCACACUCCCUUUCCGUUACUCGCUGUGAUCCCGGACCUUUUAGCCACCGACGGAUCCAUUUCUCCCAUUGCACUUGCCCUGAGGACGUAACUCAGACAAGUUGAAUUGACAUCGGGACGCUACCCAGGCAGGCCUUACAUGAUACAUGCUCCGGAACACAUCCCGUCGAGCACCCUUAUAACGCCUCUGGCCAGUGCCCGAUGGAGAUCAACCCACCAGGUCAGCUAGCAUGUGUACACGAUUCUCAGACAACGUGUUAGGUCAUAAGAGAACCUCAAUUGAUUAACUUUGCGAGCCUUAAACAGAGCAGAGUGCACAUAAACAUUUUAUUGGAUAAACAGUUUGCAUUGCAUUAAAUAAAUAGUUUGCAUUUCAUUGAAACAUUUAGAGCUUAAUAACUCAAUCAUACUUUAUACAUUUGGAAAGUAAGCCCACCUGGAUAGGCAAAGCCUGAAGAUCAUACACAUAUAAACCUGUCUUGGGAAAGCAGCG